GAUGAACGCUAGCGGGAGGCUUAAUACAUGCAAGUCGAACGGUAAGGUCUAGCUUGCUAGAUACACGAGUGGCGCACGGGUGAGUAACGCGUACACAAUCUGCCCUUAAGUGGGGGAUAGCCCUUGGAAACGAGGAUUAAUACCCCAUAAUAUUGAUUUUUUUACGGAUAGAUCAAUUAAAGCUCAGGUGCUUAAGGAUGAGUGUGCGUCUGAUUAGCUAGUUGGUAAGGUAAUGGCUUACCAAGGCUACGAUCAGUAGGGGGCGUGAGAGCGUGAUCCCCCACACGGGUACUGAGACACGGACCCGACAACUACGGUUGGCAGCAGUAAGGAAUAUUGGACAAUGGGCGAAAGCCUGAUCCAGCCAUCCCGCGUGCAGGAUGACGGCCCUAUGGGUUGUAAACUGCUUUUAGAAGGGAAGAAUAGCAGUCAUUUAUGAUUGUAUGACGGUACCUUCAGAAUAAGCACCGGCUAACUCCG
RNAcentral lists this ribosomal RNA (480 nucleotides) under uncultured Saprospiraceae bacterium. Its description in RNAcentral is "bacterial SSU rRNA". It matches the Rfam family "Bacterial small subunit ribosomal RNA", at positions 28 to 505 of the family's 1533-position model. Lineage: Bacteria; Pseudomonadati; Bacteroidota; Saprospiria; Saprospirales; Saprospiraceae. The record is from RNAcentral.